Molecule: ribosomal RNA, 520 nt
Filed under: uncultured bacterium
Lineage: Bacteria
Description: partial 16S ribosomal RNA
Rfam family: Bacterial small subunit ribosomal RNA
Source: RNAcentral
GACGAACGCUGGCGGCGUGCCUAAUACAUGCAAGUCGAACGCACUCUCGUUUAGAUUGAAGGAGUUUGCUCCUGAUUGAUAAACAUUUGAGUGAGUGGCGGACGGGUGAGUAACACGUGGGUAACCUGCCCUAAAGUGGGGGAUAACAUUUGGAAACAGAUGCUAAUACCGCAUAAAACCUAACACCGCAUGGUGUAGGGUUGAAAGAUGGUUUCGGCUAUCACUUUAGGAUGGACCCGCGGUGCAUUAGUUAGUUGGUGAGGUAAAGGCUCACCAAGACCGUGAUGCAUAGCCGACCUGAGAGGGUAAUCGGCCACACUGGGACUGAGACACGGCCCAGACUCCUACGGGAGGCAGCAGUAGGGAAUCUUCCACAAUGGACGAAAGUCUGAUGGAGCAACGCCGCGUGAGUGAAGAAGGUUUUCGGAUCGUAAAACUCUGUUGUUGGGGAAGAAUGUAUCUGAUAGUAACUGAUCAGGUAGUGACGGUAUCCAACCAGAAAGCCACGGCUAACUACGUG